CUUCCGGCCGCGCCUGCGCACGGGGAACCGCCGCGACCUGCCCGGCGGAGCCCGCCGUGUCCCACGUGUGUCCAUCCCUCCAGCCGUGCCCCACACGUGCCCCCCGUGCCCUCGCCAUGUUCACCUGUGCAAAGUUCGUCUCAGCUCCCGCGCUCGUGAGGAGGAGCUCGAGGGUGCUGGGCCAACCCCUCUCAUCUGCGGUGCUGAGCAGCCCCGAGGCCCGGCCAGAGCAGGUAAAACACCUGGGCUGGGGGGCACGGGGGUGGCUGGGGGUGCUCAGUGCCCUGGGAAAGCACAGGGAGGUGGCUGUGCCCCCC
This 317-nucleotide long non-coding RNA is filed under the name Lepidothrix coronata (blue-crowned manakin). RNAcentral describes it as "lncRNA (ENSLCOG00000008890.1)". Lineage: Eukaryota; Metazoa; Chordata; Aves; Passeriformes; Pipridae. The record is from RNAcentral.